UACAGAGGGUGCAAGCGUUAAUCGGAAUUACUGGGCGUAAAGAGUGUGUAGGCGGUGCUCUAAGUUCGGUGUGAAAUCUCCCGGCUUAACUGGUAGGGUGCGCCGGAAACUGGAGUGCUUGAGCGCGGGAGAGGAAAGCGGAAUUCCUGGUGUAGCGGUGAAAUGCGUAGAUAUCAGGAGGAACACCUGUGGUGUAGACGGCUUUCUGGACCGUAGCUGACGCUGAGACACGAAAGCGUGGGUAGCAAACAGG
This 253-nucleotide ribosomal RNA is filed under the name uncultured bacterium. Its description in RNAcentral is "partial 16S ribosomal RNA". It matches the Rfam family "Bacterial small subunit ribosomal RNA", at positions 524 to 776 of the family's 1533-position model. The record is from RNAcentral.